ACUGCUAUCGGAUUGAUACUAAGCCAUGCGAGUCAUUGUAGCAAUACAAGGCAGACGGCUCAGUAACGCGUAGUCAACCCAACCUAUGGACGGGAAUAACCUCGGGAAACUGAGAAUAAUGCCCGAUAGAACACUAUGCCUGGAAUGGUUUGUGUUCCAAAUGAUUUAUCGCCGUAGGAUGGGACUGCGGCCUAUCAGUUUGUUGGUGAGGUAAUGGCCCACCAAGACUAUUACAGGUACGGGCUCUGAGAGGAGUAGCCCGGAGAUGGGUACUGAGACACGGACCCAGGCCCUAUGGGGCGCAGCAGGCGAGAAAACUUUGCAAUGUGCGAAAGCACGACAAGGUUAAUCCGAGUGGUUUCUGCUAAAGGAACCUUUUGUCGGUCCUAGAAACACCGAUGAAUAAGGGGUGGGCAAGUUCUGGUGUCAGCCGCCGCGGUAAAACCAGCACCUCAAGUGGUCAGGAUGAUUAUUGGGCCUAAAGCAUCCGUAGCCUGCUUUGUUAGUUUUCGGUUAAAUCUGUACGCUCAACGUACAGGCUGCCGGGAAUACUGCAAAGCUAGGGAGUGGGAGAGGUAGACGGUACUCGGUAGGAAGGGGUAAAAUCCUUUGAUCUAUUGAUGACCACCUGUGGCGAAGGCGGUCUACCAGAACACGUCCGACGGUGAGGGAUGAAAGCUGGGGGAGCAAACCGGAUUAGACACCCGGGUAGUCCCAGCCGUAAACCAUGCAAACUCAGUGAUGCAUUGGCUUGUGGCCAAUGCAGUGCUGCAGGGAAGCCGUUAAGUUUGCCGCCUGGGAAGUACGUACGCAAGUAUGAAACUUAAAGGAAUUGGCGGGGGAGCACCACAAGGGGUGAAG
RNAcentral lists this ribosomal RNA (861 nucleotides) under uncultured archaeon. RNAcentral describes it as "bacterial SSU rRNA". It matches the Rfam family "Archaeal small subunit ribosomal RNA", at positions 26 to 893 of the family's 1478-position model. The record is from RNAcentral.